This 372-nucleotide ribosomal RNA is filed under the name unidentified archaeon. RNAcentral describes it as "bacterial SSU rRNA". It matches the Rfam family "Archaeal small subunit ribosomal RNA", at positions 90 to 462 of the family's 1478-position model. The record is from RNAcentral.
UCAGUAACACGUAGUCAACAUGCCCAAAGGACGUGGAUAACCUCGGGAAACUGAGGAUAAACCGCGAUAGGCCAAGGUUUCUGGAACGAGCCAUGGCCGAAAUCUAUAUGGCCUUUGGAUUGGACUGCGGCCGAUCAGGCUGUUGGUGAGGUAAUGGCCCACCAAACCUGUAACCGGUACGGGCUUUGAGAGAAGGAGCCCGGAGAUGGGCACUGAGACAAGGGCCCAGGCCCUAUGGGGCGCAGCAGGCGCGAAACCUCUGCAAUAGGCGAAAGCUUGACAGGGUUACUCUGAGUGAUGCCCGCUAAGGGUAUCUUUCGGCACCUCUAAAAAUGGUGCAGAAUAACGGGGUGGGGCAAGUCUGGUGCCAGC